RNAcentral lists this ribosomal RNA (1083 nucleotides) under uncultured bacterium. Its description in RNAcentral is "bacterial SSU rRNA". It matches the Rfam family "Bacterial small subunit ribosomal RNA", at positions 327 to 1407 of the family's 1533-position model. The record is from RNAcentral.
CAUAUGGUAUUCCUACGGGAGGCAGCAGUGGGGAAUUUUGGACAAUGGGCGCAAGCCUGAUCCAGCCAUGCCGCGUGAGUGAAGAAGGCCUUCGGGUUGUAAAGCUCUUUCGGUGAAGACGAAACGGUUAGCGCUAAUAACGCUGACUAAUGACGGUACUCACAGAAGAAGCACCGGCUAACUACGUGCCAGCAGCCGCGGUAAUACGUAGGGUGCAGGCGUUAAUCGGAAUUACUGGGCGUAAAGCGUGCGCAGGCGGUUUGCUAAGACAGGUGUGAAAUCCCCGAGCUAACUUGGGAAUUGCGCUUGUAACUGGCAAGCUAGAGUGUGGCAGAGGGGGGUGGAAUUCCACGUGUAGCAGUGAAAUGCGUAGAUAUGUGGAGGAACACCGAUGGCGAAGGCAGCCCCCUGGGUUAACACUGACGCUCAUGCACGAAAGCGUGGGGAGCAAACAGGAUUAGAUACCCUGGUAGUCCACGCCCUAAACUAUGUCAACUAGUUGUCGGGGAAGAAAUUCCUUGGUAACGAAGCUAACGCGUGAAGUUGACCGCCUGGGGAGUACGGCCGCAAGGUUAAAACUCAAAGGAAUUGACGGGGACCCGCACAAGCGGUGGAUUAUGUGGAUUAAUUCGAUGCAACGCGAAAAACCUUACCUACCCUUGACAUGCUAGGAAGCCCGCAGAGAUGUGGGUGUGCCCGAAAGGGAACCUAGACACAGGUGCUGCAUGGCUGUCGUCAGCUCGUGUCGUGAGAUGUUGGGUUAAGUCCCGCAACGAGCGCAACCCUUGCCAUUAGUUGCUACAUUCAGUUGGGCACUCUAAUGGGACCGCCGGUGACAAACCGGAGGAAGGUGGGGAUGACGUCAAGUCCUCAUGGCCCUUAUGGGUAGGGCUUCACACGUAAUACAAUGGUCGGUACAGAGGGCUGCCAACCCGCAAGGGGGAGCUAAUCCCAGAAAGCCGAUCGUAGUCCGGAUUGUAGUCUGCAACUCGACUGCAUGAAGCCGGAAUCGCUAGUAAUCGCGGAUCAGCAUGUCGCGGUGAAUACGUUCCCGGGCCUUAUACACACCGCAUCGUGCUCCGU